CCUACGGGCGGCAGCAGUGGGGAAUAUUGGACAAUGGGGGCAACCCUGAUCCAGCCAUGCCGCGUGUGUGAAGAAGGCCCUCGGGUUGUAAAGCACUUUCAGUGAGGAAGAACGCCUGGUGGUUAAUACCCAUCAGGAAAGACAUCACUCACAGAAGAAGCACCGGCUAACUCCGUGCCAGCAGCCGCGGUAAUACGGAGGGUGCGAGCGUUAAUCGGAAUUACUGGGCGUAAAGCGCACGUAGGUGGCUUGAUAAGCCGGUUGUGAAAGCCCCGGGCUCAACCUGGGAACGGCAUCCGGAACUGUCAAGCUAGAGUGCAGGAGAGGAAGGUAGAAUUCCCGGUGUAGCGGUGAAAUGCGUAGAGAUCGGGAGGAAUACCAGUGGCGAAGGCGGCCUUCUGGACUGACACUGACACUGAGGUGCGAAAGCGUGGGUAGCAAACAGGAUUAGAUACCCUUGUAGUC
This 465-nucleotide ribosomal RNA is filed under the name Vreelandella stevensii. RNAcentral's name for it is "partial 16S ribosomal RNA". It matches the Rfam family "Bacterial small subunit ribosomal RNA", at positions 338 to 795 of the family's 1533-position model. The record is from RNAcentral. Lineage: Bacteria; Pseudomonadati; Pseudomonadota; Gammaproteobacteria; Oceanospirillales; Halomonadaceae.